GUGGGGAAUAUUGGACAAUGGGCGCAAGCCUGAUCCAGCCAUGCCGCGUGUGUGAAGAAGGCCUUUUGGUUGUAAAGCACUUUAAGCGAGGAGGAGGCUCCUUUAGUUAAUACCUAAAGAGAGUGGACGUUACUCGCAGAAUAAGCACCGGCUAACUCUGUGCCAGCAGCCGCGGUAAUACAGAGGGUGCAAGCGUUAAUCGGAUUUACUGGGCGUAAAGCGCGCGUAGGUGGCCAAUUAAGUCAAAUGUGAAAUCCCCGAGCUUAACUUGGGAAUUGCAUUCGAUACUGGUUGGCUAGAGUAUGGGAGAGGAUGGUAGAAUUCCAGGUGUAGCGGUGAAAUGCGUAGAGAUCUGGAGGAAUACCGAUGGCGAAGGCAGCCAUCUGGCCUAAUACUGACACUGAGGUGCGAAAGCAUGGGGAGCAAACAGGAUUAGAAACCCUGGUAGUCC
Molecule: ribosomal RNA, 451 nt
Filed under: uncultured bacterium
Lineage: Bacteria
Description: partial 16S ribosomal RNA
Rfam family: Bacterial small subunit ribosomal RNA
Source: RNAcentral